Molecule: transfer RNA, 73 nt
Filed under: Stegodyphus mimosarum
Lineage: Eukaryota; Metazoa; Arthropoda; Arachnida; Araneae; Eresidae
Rfam family: tRNA
About the family: Transfer RNA (tRNA) molecules are approximately 80 nucleotides in length. Their secondary structure includes four short double-helical elements and three loops (D, anti-codon, and T loops). Further hydrogen bonds mediate the characteristic L-shaped molecular structure. tRNAs have two regions of fundamental functional importance: the anti-codon, which is responsible for specific mRNA codon recognition, and the 3' end, to which the tRNAs corresponding amino acid is attached (by aminoacyl-tRNA synthetases). tRNAs cope with the degeneracy of the genetic code in two manners: having more than one tRNA (with a specific anti-codon) for a particular amino acid; and 'wobble' base-pairing, i.e. permitting non-standard base-pairing at the 3rd anti-codon position.
Source: Rfam by way of RNAcentral
GCCUUCGUAGUGUAACAGUUAGCACACUCGGCGCGUAUUCGAAAGGUCAAGGGUUCGACUCCCGGUGAGGGCA